RNAcentral lists this ribosomal RNA (468 nucleotides) under uncultured bacterium. Its description in RNAcentral is "partial 16S ribosomal RNA". It matches the Rfam family "Bacterial small subunit ribosomal RNA", at positions 28 to 507 of the family's 1533-position model. The record is from RNAcentral.
GACGAACGCUGGCGGCGUGCUUAACACAUGCAAGUCGAACGGAAAGGCCCUGCUUUUGUGGGGCGCUCGAGUGGCGAACGGGUGAGUAACACGUGAGUAACCUGCCCUUGACUUUGGGAUAACUUCAGGAAACUGGGGCUAAUACCGGAUAGGAGCUCCUGCUGCAUGGUGGGGGUUGGAAAGGUUCGGCGGUUGGGGAUGGACUCGCGGCUUACCAGCUUGUUGGUGGGGUAGUGGCUUACCAAGGCUUUGAGGGGUGGCCGGCCUGAGAGGGUGACCGGCCACAUUGGGACUGAGAUACGGCCCAGACUCCAACGGGGGGCAGCAGUGGGAAAUAUUGCACAAUGGGGCGAAGCCUGAUGCGGAAACGCCGCGUGCGGGAUACCGGCCUUCGGGUUGUAAACCGCUUUCGCCUGUGACGAAGCGUUAGUGACGGUAAUGGGUAAAGAAGCACCGGCUAACUACGUG